AUACAUUCACACUCCUUUCUGUGAGUGACUGGAGCACUCCCAUGCAGCACAACUAUAGUGGAGACUGUUCAAGGACAACAGGCUUUAUAGUGCAAAUGUAACAACUGUAAUAAAAUGCCUAAUGAAGUUGAAAAUGUAUGCUGCUUGGAAAUACAAAAGGUUGUGAGGCGAAUGAACCAGGUUUCAGGCCCUCUACAAUGCAUGACACACCACCCAGGCUUCGAACCUAACUGUUUAAUUCCUUAAACCCUCCAGACCAUUAAUAACAUUUACAGAGCUGAUUUUGGAUCCCUGAGGCGAAGAACAGAAGAGUAAUUUUUUUUUUAAAAUGUAAUCUUAUUUCU
This is a long non-coding RNA of Sinocyclocheilus anshuiensis, 344 nucleotides long. RefSeq lists it as uncharacterized. The transcript is spliced from 3 exons. The record is from RefSeq and is a predicted model, not a curated record. Lineage: Eukaryota; Metazoa; Chordata; Actinopteri; Cypriniformes; Cyprinidae.